This 306-nucleotide ribosomal RNA is filed under the name Pseudomonas sp. AE_158. RNAcentral describes it as "bacterial SSU rRNA". It matches the Rfam family "Bacterial small subunit ribosomal RNA", at positions 8 to 317 of the family's 1533-position model. Lineage: Bacteria; Pseudomonadati; Pseudomonadota; Gammaproteobacteria; Pseudomonadales; Pseudomonadaceae. The record is from RNAcentral.
AGAGUUUGACCUGGCUCAGAUUGAACGCUGGCGGCAGGCCUAACACAUGCAAGUCGAGCGGAUGACGGGAGCUUGCUCCUUGAUUCAGCGGCGGACGGGUGAGUAAUGCCUAGGAAUCUGCCUGGUAGUGGGGGACAACGUUUCGAAAGGAACGCUAAUACCGCAUACGUCCUACGGGAGAAAGCAGGGGACCUUCGGGCCUUGCGCUAUCAGAUGAGCCUAGGUCGGAUUAGCUAGUUGGUGGGGUAAUGGCUCACCAAGGCGACGAUCCGUAACUGGUCUGAGAGGAUGAUCAGUCACACUGGA